Epinephelus moara (kelp grouper) is the source of this 2956-nucleotide long non-coding RNA. RefSeq lists it as uncharacterized. The record is from RefSeq and is a predicted model, not a curated record. The transcript is spliced from 3 exons. NCBI's taxonomy places the organism in Eukaryota, Metazoa, Chordata, Actinopteri, Perciformes, Serranidae.
GUUUGUUAGUACGGUUCAUUUAGGCUGGUGUGAAAGCUGUCAGUGACAUCCUGGUGUGGAUCAAACAACCAAACCGAGACCACUUAAAAAGUUGAGUCUUGGCCCGCUUCCAAACGGACUCUGGUGCCAUCACAUCCUCACUGUGACCUCGUCACAUGUCCAGGUUUGGUCAUAGACUUUCCACGUCCACAUAUGACGUCCAAGGAUGUGGUCGCUCAGUGAGGACGAGCUGCACAAAGAUGCCUGCGUCACAGACGAAGGUGGCGGUGGUUUCUGCCUCAAAGCCUGCUGGGACAGGAUGUGUGGGCGGGGAGAUGGAGGUCAGGCGGUGCUGGGGUGAAGACGUAUCGUCAGCUUCACCGCCAACAGGAUGUCAGCAGCAGGAUGUGCACGAGCUUCAAAAGAAGCAGAAGUAGAAACGAGGCUGCAGCAGCGUGAAACUUUGAGGUCACAAUCUGACAAACAUCCGUCGGCACACAGAUGAGGAAAAAACACGACCUCAGAAUAUUUCCGACACGUGUGGAGGAAAAAAAAAUAAAAACUUGCAACUGAAAGUGUCUCAAAACUUCCAGGAAGAAAUAAAAUAAUAUCAAAAACAUAUAAAUAUAUAUAUGAGAAAAACUAUGUGUGGUAACACUGUGAUAUAUUAUCUGUUCAUACAACAGCUUUCACACAGGGCUGUCCACAGGAGGACCUACAAGUGUUAACAAAUAUAUUCACUGACAUUUAUAUCUGCAUGGAAGUCUGUUACAAACCAUUUAUGAUAUUUAGGCAUCAGGGCUGUCCACAUACUUAUGGUCAAAUAUUGUAUAUUUACAUAAUAAGGUCCAACGGUUCAACCAAACUGUCGGCCAUCACUCCCGCUCUCUGGGAGCUCUCCUGCUCCGUCUCCACAGACUGCCCUCAGUGAUAUAAUCAACAUGUGGAGUAAAGUGUUCCCUACACUUCUGUUAGUGUUAUAUGUUGUGUAAAAUUUAUGAUGCGUCCUUGAAAAGUGCUGAAAACGUUUUUAAAUUUUGUCCAUAAAAAUGUGUGGGAACGCUGAAAGAAAGAAGUGGUGUUUCAUAAAGCCGUAACACCGUCAGUCUGGACCUCCAAGACUUCCUGAAGAAGUGUGUGAGGGACAGACUUUAUAAUGAUUAACAUACAUCAGGUUCAAAAUGAUUCAACGCAUCUUUUGCAGCAAGUGUCUCAUUGUUCAACGGAAGGACAUCAGAGGUCAGAGGUCAGAGGUCAGGGGUCAGGGGUCAGGGGGGGAUUCCUUGUCUGUCUCUGUGUAAAGUGAUGAACAGACACUAAAAUGCUUUAAAACAAACGUGUCAUGUGUGGAUCAUCAUGGACACACAGAGGAGGACAACAGGGUUUAUUUUUAUUACUCUGACUGUGAAAACUACAGAAAUGAAAUGAAAUAUAAAUGAGAUAAUGUUUGGACGAGUCCAGGCUGCUGAAACACAUGUGAAUGCAUCAAAAGUCUGAGGGCGAUAAAAGAUCAGAUUUUACAUGAAAUUGUUUGAUUUCAGGGGAAGAAAUGACUUUAUAUUCGGCUCUGGGUUACAGGUUUGGAGUCAUUUGUCCUGCAGGUGGUGUGCUGCUGCCAUUCCUAUUGCUUUUCCAUGUGACAACAGCGCCACUGUGUGACUUCUCUCAGGAACUGCUACCCUCACAUCAACAAGUCCUGAGUGAAGCAGAGGCUUGUACUACAAAGCCACUUCAACUCAGCCAGGAUAUCUUCUGGUUAUCUGCUUUGACUAAGCUUAACUUUGGACAUCUGGAUAAGCGCUGCUACAAAGCUGGUUAUCAACUAGUUCAGUCAGCUCUGGGUUUUCCUAUCAGCCACGAGCGUGUUCAUGUGAAAGAGCCAGUGGUGUUAAUUAUGGGCCACAUCAUCAGAACCAUGAAUGAAGUAGGCUGCUUCAUAUUAUAUGAGAUGAAACGGCAGCAAAAGUGUCUGCUACUGUGAGACAGUCAAAUGUCAGUGGCGUGGGAUGGAAACAACAAUCUGUAAUCUUCAAAAGGAAAAUCUAGAAACAUUGUAAACACCAUCCAAAAAUGUAGCGUCAUCUGAGACUUAAGUUAGGUGCAUGUAUCACUGAGCUAUGGGCCAAUGUGACAUUAGUACAGAGUAUUAUUUUGCUGUUUAGUUGGACGAUGAUAAUACCACCCUCAAUCUGUCACAUAAAACACUUUGAAGUGACGCCAGACUGUUUGUGUUACUGAAGUAAAGGCUGGAAAAGUAGUUAAGGACUGAUGAGGUCUGUCUGAUCCAAAUGUUACAUUUAUAAUAACAGGAGCCAAUUAAUAAUGUCUGGAUUAUUUUACUAAUAAAAUAUGAUGUGUUUUGUCCCAGUUCUCAUCACACAGGUGUCUCAGGUUAUUUUGAGCUGCAGUGAUGAAUCAGAGUGUAAAAUAUCACCAUCACUGCAGACUGAAAUAAACUUUGCAUCAUUUCAAACAGUGUUAAAAUCAUGUGUUUAGUGUUGUAAACAAUCUCUCCAUUUGUUAGAAGCUCUGUUUUAAAACCAGUGGAAAUAAUGAAAUGAUUCUACUGACCUGUGACAGCAUACAGGCUGCUCUUUUUUACCUGCUGUCACUCUGGACUUUGCUACAUGGAGACUUUUUUCUUCAGUGAUCUGAUUGGUCAGAGGUCGGGGUGUUGACAGGCUGUGAUCCCAUACCCUGAAGUUAACCUGCUCUGGAGCAGCUUAGCUGUUCAGCAUACGUUGCCACGGUGAUUUAUCAUGGUCAAAAGAGAACCAGCUUGGUAGUGCUGAAAACCCAGAGUUAAGCCCAAAGUUAUCUGGCUAACUUCAAAUCCUGCUUCCUAGUACAGGCCUCAGGACAUUUCUGUCACGUGAGAAGGAUCUUACCGAAGACGACUGCAUUAAAGAAAACUGUGAUGUACAGAGCCAUGUCGUACACUUCACCCAGGUGACCAGUAGGAUCACUUUAAAGAGAC